Molecule: non-coding RNA, 2765 nt
Organism: Oncorhynchus mykiss (rainbow trout)
Lineage: Eukaryota; Metazoa; Chordata; Actinopteri; Salmoniformes; Salmonidae
Source: RefSeq, a predicted model, not a curated record
UCUCCGCUGUGCAAGGAACAGGAAGUGGUCAUGGGUAGACGGGAUCCAACUUUUGUCUUUGCUAGAAAGGAUCCAAUAUUUGUCAAAUUAACUUCAAAUUUGACUUUUCGUUUUACGCUUCGAACACACCGACUGUGUUUUACGUUUUGAUUCACCAGAAGUACAUUCAUUUCCAAUGGAACCCUGCGUUUGCCUUGCAGCAUGGAUUUAUCGAACCAAUGCAUCAAAUUGUAUGCGUGGACUUACUUGACAGAAAGCAGCAAAAUGUGAGUGUUGAAUUUUUGAUGCACACUUAUCCAGUAAACACAUGUGGGAUAACAUAUAAUAAAAACAGUUUGACUGUAUAAUUUCUUUAAAUGUUUUAUUCAUUUAUUUGCCAAGUACAUCAUUUAUUCGAUGACAUCCACAAAUUAAUUGUGAGAGCCUAUAAUAUAAUUUCCCCCAAAAUGCAGUUUUGGAGCGAAAUGCAAUAAUAAAUAGUCCACAAUGAGACCAACGUUGAGGAAGUUGGUCUUGAUCGCGCCUGUUGGUCCGGGACCAGCCCCGCCGAAAGCAGAGGUCUAGAGAUGGUUAAAGUCCCGAAAGCAGGCAGGGGAGUUCCACGGUCUCAUUCAAGAGCUUCGACUGUUUGGAGAGGAAUUCCGACAUUACUUUCGUCUGGACCGAAGCCAGUUCGAUCACCUGCUCCAGAUGGUUGGAGCCAAGAUCGCCCGGGAGUCCAUCAGCCCAGUUGAACUCCUGACGAUUUGUCUCCGAUUCUUGUCGACAGGGGACUCCUACAGUACCAGUGGAUUCAGCUUCCGAGUUGGAUGGUCCACAGUGGCAGGCAUUGUCCCCUCUGUGGCACAAGCCAUUUGGGACUGUCUGGUUGGUGAAUACAUGCCUGUCCCCAAGGAGGAAGACUGGAGGGCCAUCGCUGCUGAGUUCCUGGAGAGGUGGAAUUUCCCCAACUGUCUUGGCUCCAUUGACGGGAAACAUGUAGUAAUCCAGGCUCCACCGUGCUCGGGUUCGCAAUCUACUAUUUCCGUGUUGUUGAUGUUGGUGCUUACGGCAAGGGAAGUGAUGGCGGGACCCUCCGGGACUCUGCCUUCGGUCAGGCACUUCAGGAUCGCACCCUGGAGAUUCUACCACCCGCAUCACUCCCUGGGGCUGAAGACCUGGGACCUGUUCCCCACGUCUUCGUCGAUGACGAGGCCUUCCCUUUGAGACCCAACCUCAUGAGGCCCUACACUGGACGCCAACUGCCAUUGCCAAAGCCUGUAAGGAUCUUUAACAAACGACUGUCCGGGGCAAGGUUAGUUGUUGAAUGCGCCUUUGGGAUUCUGGCAGCCCGGUGGAGAAUGUAUUGGAGAGUGCUUGGUCUCAGCCUCUCAAAUGUCAAUGCCUGCGUGAAGGCCACAUGUGUUGUCUACAACUACCUGCGGAGGUCAUUUCAGGAGCCGUUUGGGAUGGAGAUGGGAACGCCAAAUGGUCACCUACCUGAUGUCUAACAACGCCCCUAGACAGGAACUCCAGUACAGGAAACAUCCACAAGUGUUGUCGCCACCGGUCCAUCAAGACCCUCAACGUCACCUACAAGUGCGACCAUCGCCUCCACCGGUGCAGCGAGACCCUCUACAACGUCUACAUCAUCCACAAGUAUGACCACCACCGGUGCAGCCAUGGAAGAUGAUGAAAUGGAGGAAGCACCUCUGGAUCUAGGACCACCUGAGAUUAUUAUGAACCUCACGGAAGUGACCACUGAGGACCUUGUUGAACAGGAUGUGGCCGUGGAGAGAAACAGAGAGAGAAACGAAGAGGAACAACGUCACACCAGGCGUCAUCGGAGGUAUUAGCCCCCCAGAUCCACUCAACUCAUUUCAGCAGAGGCUCCUCCAAGCCGUCGAGAGGGAUGCAGCCCAACCUGAUGCUCACAGGAAGGAGGAUGAAGAGACCCUCUUUGCCAUGAGCCUGGUGCCAACACUGAAGAGGCUGCCUCAGCAAAGAAAAGCAGCAGUCAAGGAUCAAAUGUAUCAGCUGCUUUUCGAAGCCGAGUUCAAUGAAAUGGAGUCAAUUUAGCCGACCAGCUCACAGGAAGGACAGGAAGAAGAGAUGAGUUGUCUGGUUGUUGUCUUGACCUCCCUCAUUGUACCUUUCUUUUCACACAUGUCAGUUCCAUUUAAAUUCAGUCAAUUCAUAAAGUAAUUUGUUUAUAAAGUCUUAGGAUAACAUCCAUUAUUAGUGUUACAUAGAUUUCUGAAUUGACAGAAUUGAAACGCAUACACCGGAGAAUUCACAGAUGCUCUUGUUGGUCUCUUACAAGACUAAUGGUGAAUAUAUUUCUUUAAUUUAAAACCACUUGAAAACCAGGAUGUUGAACCUGUAUGUGAAGUUAUGUUCCAUCGACUGGUCCAUGACGUCCAGGGGCCAUUUGUUUGUUUAGCUGUGUUAUGGUUACACAUUAUUUUUAUUUUUUUCAGAGACGGAGACACACACACACCUCUCCUCCACUCCUCUCUGUACCUCAGAUCUCCAGUGCCCUGCCCUCUCUCUCUUUAUGGCCAUGUCUGAAGUUCCCCGACUAUGUCUAGGCUUAAUGAGUUGUCCCUGUAUCGGUCUGCAGUUGUGCUCUUGUUGUUCUCUUACAAAUUACAGGCUACACAUUCAUUUUUUUAAUUGUUUUUUUUACACGCACAUACACCUCUUUCAAUAGUUACAUUUAAAAAAAAAACCUGUCAUGUUCUUUCCUGUACUUGAAUACUUAUUAAAUUAUGUUUCCAAAGUCA